CUCCGUUUCCCCUAAGUGUGAAUUAAAUCGCACUUUGUAAGUAAAGACGGUGUGAAUGGUGUGCCAGGUCAUCCCGUCUACCUCCUCGCAAGCAGUAACAAUUUCUGAAAGAUUUAGUGCACACAUUAAGGGUUCAUGGAAGCUGUCCAGCGCGCUUCCAACGGCUUGGAUGUAAUUAGUCAUUCAAGACGUUUAUUUUUAAAUAAGGUACAGAGAACCACGAUAAUUUUAGGAUGCCGGUUCAGGGAAGGAGUAGCGGGGGAAGGCGGGGAGGGGUGGUUCUCCCACGGAGGAGCCCUUCCCGAGGCGGAUGGCGAGGUGGGGCGCGGGAAGCGCUCGCCGUGCGCGGGAAGUGAUGCCCGCAGGCUGCUGUGGAUGCGGCGAUCCCCCGGCAAAGCCUCUGCCUCGCACUUCGCCCCUGCGGCGCGGGGAGCGCUCCCUCGGGACCCGGCGGCUCCGGGAGCCAUCGCUGCCGAGGCUCCCUCGGGUCGCUGCGGGAUCAGCUCCGCGCCUGCCCCGCCCCAGCCGCUUAGGGCGGGCUCGGGGGCUCAGCUGCGGCUUAGCCCGGGGCUCCUGUCCCCGGGGCUCCCGUCCCCGUGUCCCCUCGGCUCCGCUCCCCACCUGUCCGCGGGCGCUGCCCCUGACGUCAUGGAAACACCCCCUGCCCCCGCCCCGCCGCCCGGGAAGGCGGGCACGGCACCGGCAGCGGCGGCCCCGGGCGGCGGCGGGGCGGGGGCAGCGCAGGCUCCUCCCGUUGGCCGGCGCGGCCGUCACUCGAGCGCGGCGGUCCCGCCGCCGGUCCCGCUCGUGGGUGUUCCCUGCCAGCCGAGCCAGCGCUCCGCCGGACCGGCCCUGUAUGCUGGCUGUCGCUCCUGCCGGGCUCCUUCCUUCCUCGCUCCUGCCUGCGGGGCGCCGCUGCCCGGGGGCCAUGGCGGGGGCGCCCGGCCGGCCGUAGGAGUGGGGCUCAGGCCGCUAAUGAUGGUAACCGUGUUUUUCUUUCUCUGUUUUCUUGAGAAGGCACAAAGGGAACAGUUGCUUCAUGCCUUGACUUUCAUUGAUUAAUCAUAGAGUUCAGAGUGUUUCACUAUACUUAAUUUCAA
RNAcentral lists this long non-coding RNA (1100 nucleotides) under Zonotrichia albicollis (white-throated sparrow). Its description in RNAcentral is "lncRNA (ENSZALG00000011281.1)". Lineage: Eukaryota; Metazoa; Chordata; Aves; Passeriformes; Passerellidae. The record is from RNAcentral.